Molecule: transfer RNA, 72 nt
Filed under: Camelus ferus (Wild Bactrian camel)
Lineage: Eukaryota; Metazoa; Chordata; Mammalia; Artiodactyla; Camelidae
Rfam family: tRNA
About the family: Transfer RNA (tRNA) molecules are approximately 80 nucleotides in length.
Source: Rfam by way of RNAcentral
AAGGGUAUAGCUCAGUGGUAGAGCGCAUGCUUAGCAUACAUGAGGUGCUGGAUUCAAUCCCUAAUACCCCCA